UUAGGCCCGUUUGUCCGUUUUCUUCUCUUUUUCACUUUUCUCUCUCCUCUCCCUCCCUCCCUCCCUCUAUCUCUCUCUCUCUGCUCGACGCCUUUGACAUACCCAUCACCUGCACCCACACCCACAACCGUACGCUUGGGUCUCCCACCUCCAUUCUCUCUUGCUACUACCACCUUCCGCCACCUGCCGCUCGCUUCAAGCCCUCUUCGGCGCAAUUCCGACGAGGUCACUGGAGCUACCAGCUAGGCCCUCCAGGGUCGGUACCCUUAAAAACAUUGAGGCUGAUUGUGUAGUGGGGAAAGAUGAAAAGCCAGAGCAGUUAUGUGCCGCCCCCUUAUGUUCCUUUGGGACAGUCAGAUUCAUCAUCAGAGAUUGUUCUGGGCAAUGAAGAUAUUCCUGCACAUGGUCAUGCCAGCAACGGACCGUUGCAAUGGUCUUCUGGAAUCUGUGCAUGUUUCGAUGAUAUGCAGAGCUGUACGCUACUUUCUGCCUUGUGACCUUGAUUUAUCAGAAGCAAAAUUAUAAGGUUGUGUAGGUUUUUUUUGUCCUUGCUUUCUUUUUGGGAAGAAUGCAGAAUUUCUCGGCUCUGGGACUCUGAUAGGAUCAUGCAUGACCCAUUUUAUUUUGUGGGCUCUUUUCAAUUCUGUUUGUUGCUUGUUGACCGACGGCACUUUGUUGGCUUUACCUGGAUUCUUUAUCUCAUGCUAUGCUUGUGGAUACCGUAGGGCUCUACGGUCAAAGUAUAAUUUGCAGGAAGCGCCAUGCGGGGACUUUGUUACUCAUUUCUUCUGCCAUUUGUGUGCCAUCUGUCAAGAGUACCGGGAGAUCCGUGAAAGGUCUGGUGAUUUGGGAUCCCCUGAUCUGAAUUUGGCUGUAGUCACUGCUCCACCAGUGCAGAUAAUGGAAUCGGCUUCCAAGGAGUAGCGCCAUACUGUACCC
This is an RNA transcript of Juglans regia (Persian walnut), 939 nucleotides long. It is a transcript of the gene named protein PLANT CADMIUM RESISTANCE 10, with no coding region annotated. The record is from RefSeq and is a predicted model, not a curated record. The transcript has 4 exons. NCBI's taxonomy places the organism in Eukaryota, Viridiplantae, Streptophyta, Magnoliopsida, Fagales, Juglandaceae.